UACGUAGGGCGCAAGCGUUGUCCGGAAUUAUUGGGCGUAAAGAGCUCGUAGGCGGUUUGUUGCGUCGGCUGUGAAAUCCCGAGGCUCAACCUCGGGUCUGCAGUCGAUACGAGCAAACUAGAGUGUUGCAGGGGAGACUGGAAUUCCUGGUGUAGCGGUGAAAUGCGCAGAUAUCGGGGGGAACACCGGUGGCGAAGGCGGUUCUCUGGGCCUUACCUGACGCUGAGGAGCGAAAGCGUGGGGAGCGAACAGG
This 253-nucleotide ribosomal RNA is filed under the name uncultured bacterium. Its description in RNAcentral is "partial 16S ribosomal RNA". It matches the Rfam family "Bacterial small subunit ribosomal RNA", at positions 524 to 776 of the family's 1533-position model. The record is from RNAcentral.